RNAcentral lists this ribosomal RNA (216 nucleotides) under uncultured bacterium. RNAcentral describes it as "partial 16S ribosomal RNA". It matches the Rfam family "Bacterial small subunit ribosomal RNA", at positions 118 to 351 of the family's 1533-position model. The record is from RNAcentral.
UGGGAACGUGCCCAAAGGUACGGAACAACUCCGGGAAACUGGAGCUAAUACCGUAUGUGCCCGAAAGGGGAAAGAUUCAUCGCCUUUGGAUCGGCCCGCGUCUGAUUAGCUAGUUGGCGGGGUAAUGGCCUACCAAGGCGACGACGGGUAGCCGGCCUGAGAGGGUGACCAGCCACAUUGGGACUGAGACACGGCCCAGACUCCUACGGGAGGCAG